UUUUAUGAAUAUGUCUCUAGAAAGGUAAAAAAGAGAGAUUCAAAGGGCCUCUAGACAUUGCAUGUGCAUGAAAGAUCAAAGGAUGAAAAAAGUCCCACUUGGCCUUAAAUGAUCAAGCUGAAAGAAGGUAUUAGUGCAUGACUGAAAAAUGAGUCUGAAACAAUAGGCAAACUGCAUCAGCAAAAAGCAAACCUGCAUCUUGUGGAUUACUUUGUAAAUUUAAGGACACAGACUACUAAUGAGAAGUGUACUACUUUAUUA
This is a long non-coding RNA of Nicotiana attenuata, 261 nucleotides long. RefSeq lists it as uncharacterized. The record is from RefSeq and is a predicted model, not a curated record. Lineage: Eukaryota; Viridiplantae; Streptophyta; Magnoliopsida; Solanales; Solanaceae. The transcript has 2 exons.